RNAcentral lists this ribosomal RNA (256 nucleotides) under uncultured archaeon. RNAcentral describes it as "partial 16S ribosomal RNA". It matches the Rfam family "Bacterial small subunit ribosomal RNA", at positions 521 to 776 of the family's 1533-position model. The record is from RNAcentral.
UAAUACAGAGGGUGCGAGCGUUAAUCGGAAUUACUGGGCGUAAAGCGCGCGUAGGCGGCUUUUCAAGCCGGAUGUGAAAUCCCCGGGCUUAACCUGGGAACUGCAUUCGGGACUGUCUAGCUAGAGUAUGGGAGAGGGAAGUGGAAUUUCAGGUGUAGCGGUGAAAUGCGUAGAUAUCUGAAGGAACAUCAGUGGCGAAAGCGACUUCCUGGACCAAUACUGACGCUCAUGUGCGAAAGCGUGGGGAGCAAACAGG